GACGAACGCUGGCGGCGUGCUUAACACAUGCAAGUCGAACGGAAAGGCCCUGCUUUUGUGGGGUGCUCGAGUGGCGAACGGGUGAGUAACACGUGAGUAACCUGCCCUUGACUUUGGGAUAACUUCAGGAAACUGGGGCUAAUCCCGGAUAGGCGCUCCUGCUGCAUGGUGGGGGUUGGAUAGUUUCGUCGGCUGGGGAUGGACUCGAGGCUUAUCAGCUUGUUGGUGGGGUAGUGGCUUACCAAGGCUCUGCCGGGUAGCCGGCCUGUGAGGGUGACCCGCCACAGUGGGAAUGAGAUGCGGUACAGACUCCUACGGGAGGGAGCAGUGGAGAAUAUUGAACAAUAGGCGGAAGACUGAAACAGCAACCCCCCGUGGGGGAAGCAGGACUUCGGGUAGUAAACCUCUUUCGCCUGUGACGAAGCGUGUGUGAAGGUAAUGGGUAAAGAAGCACCGGCUAACUACGUG
Molecule: ribosomal RNA, 468 nt
Filed under: uncultured bacterium
Lineage: Bacteria
Description: partial 16S ribosomal RNA
Rfam family: Bacterial small subunit ribosomal RNA
Source: RNAcentral